AGCGAACGCUGGCGGCAUGCCUAACACAUGCAAGUCGCACGGGUCGGCUUCGGCCGGUCAGUGUCGGACGGGUGCGGACCGCGUAGUGAUCUGUCCUCUGGCUGGGGAUAACCGCGGGAAACUUCGGCUAAGACCGCACGGGGCGCCGGUGUGAGAGCCGGUGUCAAAGGCGCGCAUCGCGAGGUGUGUGUCGCCGGGGGGUGGGCCUGCGUUCUAUUAGCUGGUUGGCGGGGUAGUGGCCCACCAAGGCGUCGACGGGUAGCGGGUCUGAGAGGGGGACCGGCCACAUUGGGACUGAGAAAAGGCCCAGACGCCGACGGGAGGCAGCAGUGGGGAAUAUUGCACAAGGGGAGGAAGCCUGAUGCAGCAACGCCGCGGGGGGGAUGACGGCCUGCGGGUGGGAAAACGAUUUCGCCUGUGACGAAGCGUGAGUGACGGUAAGGGGAAAAGAAGCACCGGCUAACUACGUG
Molecule: ribosomal RNA, 470 nt
Filed under: uncultured bacterium
Lineage: Bacteria
Description: partial 16S ribosomal RNA
Rfam family: Bacterial small subunit ribosomal RNA
Source: RNAcentral